Molecule: ribosomal RNA, 1243 nt
Filed under: metagenome
Description: bacterial LSU rRNA
Rfam family: Bacterial large subunit ribosomal RNA
Source: RNAcentral
UGAAUACGAGAUGCUACGGCGUCGAAGCAGUCUAUGUCAUACUUCCAAGAAAAGCUUGCACUGUCAUAAACAAAUAAUGCCUGUAUCAUAACCGACACAGGUGGGUAGGUAGAGUAUACUAAGGGGCGCGAGAUAACUCUCUCUAAGGAACUCGGCAAAAUGACUCCGUAACUUCGGGAGGAGGAGUGCCUUAUUUAUAAGGUUGCGAUAACAAGAUCCAAGCAACUGUUUACCAAAAACACAGGUCUCCGCUAAGUCGUAAGACGAUGUAUGGGGGCUGACGCCUGCCCAGUGCCAGAAGGUUAAAGAAGUUGGUUAGCAUCCGCGAAGCUGAUAACUGAAGCCCUGGUGAACGGCGGCCGUAACAAUAACGGUCCUAAGGUAGCGAAAUUCCUUGUCGGGUAAGUUCCGACCCGCACGAAAGGCGUAAUGAUUUGGAUACUGUCUCGGAGAGGGGCUCGGUGAAAUAGACUUGUCUGUGAAGAUGCGGACUACCUGCACCAGGACAGAAAGACCCUAUGAAGCUUUACUGUAACCUGAAAUUGAAAUUGGACUUUACUUGCGCAGUAUAGGUGGGAGGCGUUGAGAAUAUUCUUGCGGGAUUAUUGGAGCCAUCAGUGAGAUACCACUCUUGUAAUGUUAGAUUUCUAACUUUGUAUCAUUAUCUGGUCAAAGAACAGUUUCAGGCGGGCGGUUUUGACUGGGGCGGUCGCCUCCUAAACGGUAACGGAGGCGCACAAAGGUUUCCUCUGAACGGGUAGAAAUCGUAUCUAGAGUGUAAAGGCAUAAGGAAGCUUGACUGUGAGACCUACAAGUCGAGCAGGGACGAAAGUCGGUCUUAGUGAUCUGACGGUGCUGAGUGGAAAGGCCGUCACUCAACGGAUAAAAGUUACUCUAAGGAUAACAGGCUGAUCUCCCCCAAGAGUUCACAUCGACGGGGAGGUUUGGCACCUCGAUGUCGGCUCAUCGCAUCCUGGGGCGGUAGUACGUCCCAAGGGUUGGGCUGUUCGCCCAUGAAAGCGGUACGCGAGCUGGGUUCAGAACGUCGUGGGACAGUUCGGUCCAUAUCCGGUGUAGGCGUUAGAAUAUUGAGAGGAGCCUUCUUUAGUACGAGAGGACCGAGAAGGACAUACCUCUGGUGUACCAGUUAUCGUGCCAACGGUAAACGCUGGGUAGCUAUGUGUGGAGUGGAUAACCGCUGAAAGCAUCUAAGUGGGAAGCCCACCUCAAGAUAAGUAUUCUC